AUUAUUUUGAUUUUUGUUUUUUGACAGAGCUUGCGAAGGAUUUCCUUUCCAACUUUGCCAAUUCGAAUGGCGAACCAAAUAUAUGCGCAUCCUUCAGGAAGUUGCAAACCGCAAAUUUCGAGCUAUCGAGAUUGAUAUUGAGGACUUGUUCAGUUACACAGAAAUGAAUGAAGAAUCCCGCAAUCGAGUUGAAGUGAACACUCGGGUGUUAUAUUGGUGUAUUUGCAGAUGGUAUUGAUGAGCUCAUGCCGGAGCCCACGGAGACAGAUCAUGAUCAUGACAUUCUGAUGACUCAGAGGUCUGAUGAUGGACCAGAGAAUAUGGAUGGUUCGGAUCCACAUCAGAAGAUGCCUCCUGAAGUCAAGCGCUACUUGUGAGUUCAAAGCAAAAUCCUAAUUCCUAUUGCGCUUGUUUGAAUGAAAUUUCGGUUUACAUGUGUGAAAAUUCACUUAAUUGUGUGGUCGGUAACGGAUCAUAUGCAUCUUAAUCUUGUUUUGACUAGCUAGUAUCUCAUGCCAGAAGUUACAUUGCAUAAUCAGUCACUGGACAUGUAUGGUAACACUUAUACACUUCAUGUUUCGCUUUAAACUUUCUGCUUACUGGUUCGUUAUUCAUGAAUUAGUAAAUGAAUGUCGAUAGAUAUUAGCUAGCUUGGUUUGUAGUAUGUGUUUUGAAAAUAUGGUGACAUUUCAUACAAUGUAAGUUCAACAGAGGUUUAUCUCAGAUUAAUAUUGGAAACUUGCUUUUUCCUCUAUUCCAUGUCAUCGGUUGCAGUUUAUUUACGAGUUUCAUAUGCUUCAACUUCCAUUGUAGCAAAGCUUUCUAUGCAGGUUUGUGUUCAUUCUUAAUUCACUAGUUUUAUUUUUUCAUAUGUAUUCCAGUGAAAUUUACAUAAGAGCAUCUUUACAUUUUAUUGCCAGCUACAAACCCAUACAUUUUCAACAUAUUUCAAACCAUCUCUUUCCCUCCCUCUUUGGAGUAUAAUUGAUCCAAUGGCACUGGGUCUAUACUUGUGCUAGUUUCUUCAAAUCCACUUUUGUUGAUUCAUUAAUUCAUACAAAAUUUUAACUAUAUAUUGCUCCCAUCUUUUCAACUCUUAACAUAGAGUUUAUCUGGUGCUUGUAGGGCAGUUUUUGCUAAACUUAUCGUUCCUUUACCUACUUUGAAAAACCUCUUCAAUUCUUAGGUGAUGAUGGGUGCCGUGUACUAACUUGUGUUAUGCCGCAGUUAUGAACUUAUAGGAGAUGAGGAAGAACAAGUUGCACGUUUGGCUGAGGAUGGUAACAUAUAUGAAAAGCGUGGUUGAUCUCUGGCACCUGAAAUACAUGGGCGUGAAGAUAUCAAGAAGGCUCUGCUUCUGCUCCUAGUGGGUGCCCCUCACAGGAAACUAAACGAUGGAAUGAAGUUAAGCUCUCAACGUAACCAGGUGCUAGCGGAUAUGGGAAUCUGUGCUACUGAUGAACUUGAUAAGACGGAUGAAUUAGAUCGUGCAGCCGUACAUGAAGUUAUGGAGCAGCAGACUGUCAGCAUUGCCAAGGCUGGGAUCACUACGUCUUUGAGUGCACGAACUCCUGUCCUUGCUGCAGCUAAUCCAGCACGGUACAAAUCUUUCUACUUCUUUUUAAUCUGGUUCAUUUGGGGCAUUACUCUUUGUUGCUUCUCAUCUAAAUCAUAUUGCUCUAGUUAUGUGGUACCUUUUUUACUGCUGGAACCUGGAAGCUAACUUUC
Malus domestica (apple) is the source of this 1728-nucleotide non-coding RNA. NCBI's taxonomy places the organism in Eukaryota, Viridiplantae, Streptophyta, Magnoliopsida, Rosales, Rosaceae. The record is from RefSeq and is a predicted model, not a curated record.